CACUGACCUCGGCCUCCCAAAGUGCUGGGAUUACAGGCGUGAGCCACUGUGCCCAGCCUAAGACCGGUUUUUCUAUUUGUGUUUCUUUCUUUAUUUUGACAGAAAGCAAAGAGGGCAAUAUUAACGGCAUCUUCCUUGGAUGGUCUCAGGAGCACGAACUAUUCCUCUCCAAAGAGCUGCAGGCUUUCGACAGCCUUAUUAGAAGACUGCAGGAAGGUUGGAGAAGGAGACGGAACAGAAAAAGGCAGGAGGGUGACGGCGCUGGAGUAGGCAGUGGAAAGCACUCUUCUGGCCUAGGUACUAGGAACCAAAUCCCUGAGGAACUCUGAGGCCCCACGGGGGACUCCUAGUUUCCAGGUGCUCCUCUGAGCAGGGCUGCUCCCAAGGUGCUCUGUGUGCUGGAAACUUGGAAGUGCUGAUUUUUAUUUUUAUUAAAUCUGUUUUUAAUUAUUUUAGUAUUUUUUUCUAGAGGGUCUUCUGGAGAAAGAAGUGCUGGUUUUUAACAUAGCUGCUUGUCAGGCAUAGCUUGCAGGGGCUGGGUGACCUUAAGUGAGACCUCUAAUUUAGCUGUGCUCUUCGUAUCCUUAGCAAGGCUCGUCCCCACUCCUGCACUGUUUGAAAGGCAGAGCUAAUAAGAGGAUUGGGAGGAUUUUAAAAGCGGUUUGUACAGGUUCAUGGCCUUAGUUAUAAACACAGUACGUAUUGCUACUAAUUGGAUGACUAUAAGGAGUAAGGAAGAAUUUAAGGGGCAGAAGGAAAUAAUUGAGGAAGUGUAUAAUGGUUUAUUGACAAGGAUGCAUCUCAACAUUACUUAAGAUAAUGAACAAUUAGAAACAAAUACCUACUUGAUUAAAAAUGUGUGCUACAUUCCUGUGAUAGAAUACAUUAAAAUGAAAGUAUGUGGCUGGGCGCGGUGGCUCAGGCCUAUAAUCCCAGCACUUUGGGAGGCCAAGGUGGGUGGAUCACAGGUCAAGAGAUC
Molecule: long non-coding RNA, 979 nt
Filed under: Aotus nancymaae (Ma's night monkey)
Lineage: Eukaryota; Metazoa; Chordata; Mammalia; Primates; Aotidae
Description: lncRNA (ENSANAG00000039552.1)
Source: RNAcentral